AUAUCCCAAAGCUAGUAUAAAAAAAAAACCAGACGAAAUGGUCUCUUCAAGAAAGCUCAUGAGCUCGCAGUUCUUUGUGAUGCUGAGGUCUCUCUGUUAUCAUGGUUUCUUGCACUGACAAGGUUAAUUUACGAGUACAUUAGCCCCACCACAACGAAGCAAAUAUUUGACCGGUAUCAGAAGACACACUGUAUGCCUCUCUUUAAUGGUAUAAAGCUUACAUGUGCAGAAAAUGCAAGAAAACUUGGGAAAACUGAAAGAGGUGAACAGGGAAAAUCAGGAGGGAGACAAGGCAGAAGAUGGGUCAGGGUUUAAAUGAUCUGAGCUUUCAGGACCUGCGCAAUCUUGAGAAAGAUAUUGAAAGUGCUUCGAAGGUUAUAAUUCAUGACCGCGCAGCAAGAUACUCAGCCCAGUUCACAGCACUCUUAGGGUUCUAUACUAAGAACAUUUUCAGUCCAUACUAAUUUACUCAAGCCAUCCAGAAUUUUUGUGAUCUAUAUGGUGUGAUUUCUAAUUUGAAACCUAAGCCUCCUAACUGAAAGAGGUGAACAGGGAAAAUCAGGAGGGAGACAAGGCAGAAGAUGGGUCAGGGUUUAAAUGAUCUGAGCUUUCAGGACCUGCGCAAUCUUGAGAAAGAUAUUGAAAGUGCUUCGAAGGUUAUAAUUCAUGACCGCGCAGCAAGAUACUCAGCCCAGUUCACAGCACUCUUAGGGUUCUAUACUAAGAACAUUUUCAGUCCAUACUAAUUUACUCAAGCCAUCCAGAAUUUUUGUGAUCUAUAUGGUGUGAUUUCUAAUUUGAAACCUAAGCCUCCUAACUUGCGAAAUGUGUAGUCGAUUUGUAAUGGAUAAUCAUCCAGCAAUUGAUCAACUCCUAUGUUUUGCUCUUAAUUAAACUAUGAAUACUUUGUGUAUAAAUAAAGUUUUUAGCAAGAAAUUUGUCUG
Long non-coding RNA from Populus trichocarpa (black cottonwood), 944 nucleotides. RefSeq lists it as uncharacterized. NCBI's taxonomy places the organism in Eukaryota, Viridiplantae, Streptophyta, Magnoliopsida, Malpighiales, Salicaceae. The transcript has 4 exons. The record is from RefSeq and is a predicted model, not a curated record.